RNAcentral lists this ribosomal RNA (58 nucleotides) under Typhula ishikariensis. Its description in RNAcentral is "partial 28S large subunit ribosomal RNA". It matches the Rfam family "Eukaryotic large subunit ribosomal RNA", at positions 1 to 57 of the family's 3401-position model. Lineage: Eukaryota; Fungi; Basidiomycota; Agaricomycetes; Agaricales; Typhulaceae. The record is from RNAcentral.
UUGACCUCAAAUCAGGUAAGACUACCCGCUGAACUUAAGCAUAUCAAUAAGCGGAGGA